Small nuclear RNA from Lutra lutra (Eurasian river otter), 102 nucleotides. Lineage: Eukaryota; Metazoa; Chordata; Mammalia; Carnivora; Mustelidae. The record is from RefSeq and is a predicted model, not a curated record.
CUUGGUCAGCAAAAAAUAUGCUUAAAUUGGAAUGAUAGGAGAGGAUUAGCAUGGUCCCUGCACAGGCAUGACUCACAAAUUCAUUAAGUGUCCUGUACUAUA